GACAGCAGCAGCCGCGGGAAUACAGAGGGUGCGAGCGUUAAUCGGAUUUACUGGGCGUAAAGCGUGCGUAGGCGGCUUUUUAAGUCGGAUGUGAAAUCCCCGAGCUUAACUUGGGAAUUGCAUUCGAUACUGGGAAGCUAGAGUAUGGGAGAGGAUGGUAGAAUUCCAGGUGUAGCGGUGAAAUGCGUAGAGAUCUGGAGGAAUACCGAUGGCGAAGGCAGCCAUCUGGCCUAAUACUGACGCUGAGGUACGAAAGCAUGGGGAGCAAACAGGAUUAGAUACCCGCGUAGUCCCUGUCUCUUAUAC
RNAcentral lists this ribosomal RNA (306 nucleotides) under uncultured bacterium. Its description in RNAcentral is "partial 16S ribosomal RNA". It matches the Rfam family "Bacterial small subunit ribosomal RNA", at positions 505 to 807 of the family's 1533-position model. The record is from RNAcentral.